GGAUUAUGGCUCAGUGGCAGAGCGCUUGCCUAGCAUGUAUGAGGCCCUGGGUUCGAUCCUCGGUACCA
Molecule: transfer RNA, 68 nt
Filed under: Marmota monax (woodchuck)
Lineage: Eukaryota; Metazoa; Chordata; Mammalia; Rodentia; Sciuridae
Description: tRNA.Ala
Rfam family: tRNA (bases 5-65)
About the family: Transfer RNA (tRNA) molecules are approximately 80 nucleotides in length. Their secondary structure includes four short double-helical elements and three loops (D, anti-codon, and T loops). Further hydrogen bonds mediate the characteristic L-shaped molecular structure. tRNAs have two regions of fundamental functional importance: the anti-codon, which is responsible for specific mRNA codon recognition, and the 3' end, to which the tRNAs corresponding amino acid is attached (by aminoacyl-tRNA synthetases). tRNAs cope with the degeneracy of the genetic code in two manners: having more than one tRNA (with a specific anti-codon) for a particular amino acid; and 'wobble' base-pairing, i.e. permitting non-standard base-pairing at the 3rd anti-codon position.
Source: RNAcentral